Molecule: long non-coding RNA, 409 nt
Filed under: Ananas comosus (pineapple)
Lineage: Eukaryota; Viridiplantae; Streptophyta; Magnoliopsida; Poales; Bromeliaceae
Description: long non-coding RNA (ACOM_LNC009277)
Source: RNAcentral
CAAAAAUAAUCUCGCUAGUAUUACUUGUUAAAUUAUUUCGAAUUGAAUUCGGAUUAAAUUUCUACCAGAGUUAUAAAACGGUCAAAAUACCUCUUUUGUUGUGGCGAUAAAGGAUAUAUAUGUUUGAAAAGUUAAAAGGCAAAAUAUUUUUUCUGCUCUUAAUUUAAGGAUAAAUAAAAAAAGUAUAUGACGAUAGAAUGAUAUAUUUAAAAGGGCAAUAUAGUAAUUUUACAGAAAUUACGGCUAAUCUUAAUAAUUCACUAAUAGAAUCUAAAUUUAGAGCUAUAUUUGAAAGAAUUUGAAACUUUAAAAUAUAUUUUUUUAUAUUAACUUUUUAAGCAGGAUAAAUAAGAAAGUCUGAAAUUUUGUAAAGACGUAUAAAUAAUUGCCCAUAUAAAUUUUAGUUAUC